Molecule: ribosomal RNA, 167 nt
Filed under: Amblygobius phalaena (banded goby)
Lineage: Eukaryota; Metazoa; Chordata; Actinopteri; Gobiiformes; Gobiidae
Description: partial 12S rRNA
Source: RNAcentral
CACCGCGGUUAUACGAGAGGCCCAAGUUGACAGACAUCGGCGUAAAGGUGGUUAUUGAACCAGCACACUAAGGUCAAACAUCUUCAAUACUGUUAUACGUACCCGAGGACAGGAAGAACUACCACGAAAGUGGCCUUAAUUUACAUGAAGCCACGAAAGCUAGGAAA